AGUCUUGCUCUGUCACACAGGCUGGAGCAUAGUGGCAUGAUCUCAGCUCAUUGCAACCUCUGCCUCCUGGGUUCAAGCAAUCCUCCUACCUCAGCCUCCUGAGUAGCUUGGACCACAGGAGACAAAAUCCUGCUAGAGAGAAGGGGCCUGCUUCAAGCACAUAACUGGAUUCUACCUCAAGACAAUCUGCCACAUUUGAAGCUUGGAAUCUUCAAAGAGCAGAAUAGAAUGUGCUGUACUCUUUCAGGACUAAAGAGACAAAGACUUCUAGGGUCUCAAUCGACAGCCUUGGAGGAACAUGUCUAAGGAAUAGGGGUGAACCAGAGAAGACCUAGCUUACUGAAAUUACAAUGUGGUCCCAAUCCAGCUAAACCCCUGGUUGGAUUGAGGUAAUCAAUCUCUCACCCUAUCUACAGAAGAAAAGAGAAACUCAUGGUGGAGUAAGAUGCCAUCUGGAGCCUCUAUGAUUCAUUUAUAUAUAUCCUACAGAAUACAGUCAAAAUUGCUAGAUAUGCAAAAACACAGGAAAAGGUGAUUUAAAAAUCAAAACAGAAAAUAGAAGUAGACACAUCAUGUUGGAGUUAGCAGACAAUGAUUUGAAACUAACCAUGAUUGAUAUGUCAAAAAUGUAUGAAAGUUGAUAAAAAAGAAUAAGAUGUGUGUUAAAA
This is a long non-coding RNA of Pan troglodytes (chimpanzee), 668 nucleotides long. RefSeq lists it as uncharacterized. NCBI's taxonomy places the organism in Eukaryota, Metazoa, Chordata, Mammalia, Primates, Hominidae. The transcript has 2 exons. The record is from RefSeq and is a predicted model, not a curated record.